AUUGAACGCUGGCGGCAUGCUUUACACAUGCAAGUCGAACAGUAACAGGGAGCUUGCUCCGCUGACGAGUGGCGAACGGGUGAGUAAUAUAUCGGAACGUACCCAAGAGUGGGGGAUAACGUAGCGAAAGUUACGCUAAUACCGCAUACGAUCUAAGGAUGAAAGCAGGGGACCUUCGGGCCUUGUGCUCCUGGAGCGGCCGAUAUCUGAUUAGCUAGUUGGUGAGGUAAAGGCUCACCAAGGCGACGAUCAGUAGCUGGUCUGAGAGGACGACCAGCCACACUGGAACUGAGACACGGUCCAGACUCCUACGGGAGGCAGCAGUGGGGAAUUUUGGACAAUGGGCGCAAGCCUGAUCCAGCAAUGCCGCGUGAGUGAAGAAGGCCUUCGGGUUGUAAAGCUCUUUUGUCAGGGAAGAAACGGCUGUGGCUAAUAUCCACGGCUAAUGACGGUACCUGAAGAAUAAGCACCGGCUAACUACGUGCCAGCCGCCGCCGUAA
This 500-nucleotide ribosomal RNA is filed under the name uncultured bacterium. Its description in RNAcentral is "partial 16S ribosomal RNA". It matches the Rfam family "Bacterial small subunit ribosomal RNA", at positions 30 to 523 of the family's 1533-position model. The record is from RNAcentral.